Molecule: ribosomal RNA, 1539 nt
Filed under: Pseudomonas kilonensis
Lineage: Bacteria; Pseudomonadati; Pseudomonadota; Gammaproteobacteria; Pseudomonadales; Pseudomonadaceae
Description: bacterial SSU rRNA
Rfam family: Bacterial small subunit ribosomal RNA
Source: RNAcentral
UUGAACUGAAGAGUUUGAUCAUGGCUCAGAUUGAACGCUGGCGGCAGGCCUAACACAUGCAAGUCGAGCGGUAGAGAGGUGCUUGCACCUCUUGAGAGCGGCGGACGGGUGAGUAAUGCCUAGGAAUCUGCCUGGUAGUGGGGGAUAACGCUCGGAAACGGACGCUAAUACCGCAUACGUCCUACGGGAGAAAGCAGGGGACCUUCGGCCUUGCGCUAUCAGAUGAGCCUAGGUCGGAUUAGCUAGUUGGUGGGGUAAUGGCUCACCAAGGCGACGAUCCGUAACUGGUCUGAGAGGAUGAUCAGUCACACUGGAACUGAGACACGGUCCAGACUCCUACGGGAGGCAGCAGUGGGGAAUAUUGGACAAUGGGCGAAAGCCUGAUCCAGCCAUGCCGCGUGUGUGAAGAAGGUCUUCGGAUUGUAAAGCACUUUAAGUUGGGAGGAAGGGCAUUAACCUAAUACGUUAGUGUUUUGACGUUACCGACAGAAUAAGCACCGGCUAACUCUGUGCCAGCAGCCGCGGUAAUACAGAGGGUGCAAAGCGUUAAUCGGAAUUACUGGGCGUAAAGCGCGCGUAGGUGGUUUGUUAAGUUGGAUGUGAAAGCCCCGGGCUCAACCUGGGAACUGCAUUCAAAACUGCAAGCUAGAGUAUGGUAGAGGGUGGUGGAAUUUCCUGUGUAGCGGUGAAAUGCGUAGAUAUAGGAAGGAACACCAGUGGCGAAGGCGACCACCUGGACUGAUACUGACACUGAGGUGCGAAAGCGUGGGAGCAAACAGGAUUAGAUACCCUGGUAGUCACGCCGUAAACGAUGUCAACUAGCCGUUGGGAGCCUUGAGCUCUUAGUGGCGCAGCUAACGCAUUAAGUUGACCGCCUGGGGAGUACGGCCGCAAGGUUAAAACUUCAAAUGAAUUGACGGGGGCCCGCACAAGCGGUGGAGCAUGUGGUUUAAUUCGAAGCAACGCGAAGAACCUUACCAGGCCUUGACAUCCAAUGAACUUUCCAGAGAUGGAUUGGUGCCUUCGGGAACAUUGAGACAGGUGCUGCAUGGCUGUCGUCAGCUCGUGUCGUGAGAUGUUGGGUUAAGUCCCGUAACGAGCGCAACCCUUGUCCUUAGUUACCAGCACGUAAUGGUGGGCACUCUAAGGAGACUGCCGGUGACAAACCGGAGGAAGGUGGGGAUGACGUCAAGUCAUCAUGGCCCUUACGGCCUGGGCUACACACGUGCUACAAUGGUCGGUACAGAGGGUUGCCAAGCCGCGAGGUGGAGCUAAUCCCACAAAACCGAUCGUAGUCCGGAUCGCAGUCUGCAACUCGACUGCGUGAAGUCGGAAUCGCUAGUAAUCGCGAAUCAGAAUGUCGCGGUGAAUACGUUCCCGGGCCUUGUACACACCGCCCGUCACACCAUGGGAGUGGGUUGCACCAGAAGUAGCUAGUCUAACCUUCGGGGGGACGGUUACCACGGUGUGAUUCAUGACUGGGGUGAAGUCGUAACAAGGUAGCCGUAGGGGAACCUGCGGCUGGAUCACCUCCUUAAU